GAGACCGGUCGCGUAUCUCAGCGUUGGACUGUUCGGGCACCCGUCCGCCUGUUUUUCUGUUUUGGUAUUUAGCCUGGUUUGGUGGCCUCCCGGCGAAUUAUUGCGUUCAUUCGGAACUUCGACAAGGCAGCACUGCACUAUUGGACUACGGCAAGCCUGGGUCUUGACUGGCCGAGGUACGUCCUAACGGCGUGCUCCGUUGUACGGAAACUUCCUCUCCCUCGGACGCAGCCAAGAGUCCAGGCGUGGAACACUGUCAUCUAAUAGGCCCACGGCUCCCUGCUGCACUGCCACCGGGGCACACCACCGUGCUGCCACCUGGUGGCCCCUGGACGACCCACACCGGCCCUGCUUCCUGGUCUUGCCGCUGCCUGCUGCCUCUCGGAGACUCCUGCCCUGCUCGGUCUGACCACUGACUGGAACCCGGUGCUGUCUGCCUGCGGGGUGCCUGUUGUUCCUGCCGCCUUGACUGGUACUGUGCUGGGGCACAACCGCCUGG
Dermacentor albipictus is the source of this 499-nucleotide non-coding RNA. The record is from RefSeq and is a predicted model, not a curated record. NCBI's taxonomy places the organism in Eukaryota, Metazoa, Arthropoda, Arachnida, Ixodida, Ixodidae.